This 460-nucleotide ribosomal RNA is filed under the name uncultured bacterium. RNAcentral describes it as "partial 16S ribosomal RNA". It matches the Rfam family "Bacterial small subunit ribosomal RNA", at positions 338 to 795 of the family's 1533-position model. The record is from RNAcentral.
CCUACGGGAGGCAGCAGUGAGGAAUAUUGGUCAAUGGCCGGAAGCCUGAACCAGCCAAGCCGCGUGAAGGAUGAAGGCCCUAAGGAUUGUAAACUUCUUUUAUCAAGGGAUAAAGUCCGGUUCGUGAGCCGGACCGAAGGUACCAGAAGAAACAGGAUCGGCUAACUCCGUGCCAGCAGCCGCGGUAAUACGGAGGGUUCGAGCGUUAUCCGGAUUUAUUGGGGUUAAAGGGUGCGUAGGCGGCAUGCCAAGUCAGCGGUGAAAUUUCCGGGGUCAACCCUCGCUCUGCAGUUGAAACGGGCGUUCUUGAGUGCGCGAGAGGUAUGCGGAAUGCGUGGUGUAGCGGUGAAAUGCAUAGAUAUCACGCAGAACUCCGAUUGCGAAGGCAGCUUACUGGAGUGCAACUGACGCUGAAGCUCGAAAGCGUGGGUAUCGAACAGGAUUAGAUACCCUAGUAGUC